AUUGAACGCUGGCGGCAUGCCUUACACAUGCAAGUCGAACGGCAGCACGGGUGCUUGCACCUGGUGGCGAGUGGCGAACGGGUGAGUAAUACAUCGGAACAUGUCCCGUAGUGGGGGAUAGCCCGGCGAAAGCCGGAUUAAUACCGCAUACGAUCUACGGAUGAAAGCGGGGGCCCUUCGGGCCUCGCGCUAUAGGGUUGGCCGAUGGCUGAUUAGCUAGUUGGUGGGGUAAAGGCCUACCAAGGCGACGAUCAGUAGCUGGUCUGAGAGGGCGACCAGCCACACUGGAACUGAGACACGGCCCAGACUCCUACGGGAGGCAGCAGUGGGGAAUUUUGGACAAUGGGCGAAAGCCUGAUCCAGCAAUGCCGCGUGUGUGAAGAAGGCCUUCGGGUUGUAAAGCACUUUUGUCCGGAAAGAAAACCUGGGCCCUAAUACGGUCGGGGGAUGACGGUACCGGAAGAAUAAGCACCGGCUAACUACGUG
RNAcentral lists this ribosomal RNA (486 nucleotides) under uncultured bacterium. RNAcentral describes it as "partial 16S ribosomal RNA". It matches the Rfam family "Bacterial small subunit ribosomal RNA", at positions 29 to 507 of the family's 1533-position model. The record is from RNAcentral.